This is a non-coding RNA of Schistosoma mattheei, 35 nucleotides long. NCBI's taxonomy places the organism in Eukaryota, Metazoa, Platyhelminthes, Trematoda, Strigeidida, Schistosomatidae. The record is from Rfam.
CGAGUCCCAAACAGGACGAAACGCGCGUCUUGGAU